Molecule: ribosomal RNA, 327 nt
Filed under: uncultured eukaryote
Lineage: Eukaryota
Description: partial 18S ribosomal RNA
Rfam family: Eukaryotic small subunit ribosomal RNA
Source: RNAcentral
CCCUUAGAUGUUCUGGGCCGCACGCGUGCUACACUGAGUGGAUCAGCGGGUCAGGUUGCGCGAAAGCGUUUCCUAAUCUUUAAAUCCGCUCGUGAUGGGGAUUGACGGUUGCAAUUUUCUGUCAUGAACGAGGAAUUCCCAGUAAGCGCGAGUCAUAAGCUCGCGUUGAUUACGUCCCUGCCCUUUGUACACACCGCCCGUCGCUACUACCGAUUGAACGGUUUAGUGAGGGCCUCGGAUUAGUCUCGGCCCGCUCUUUACCGGGCGGCGCCGUUGGUCGAGAAGACGCUCGAACUUGAUCGUUUAGAGGAAGUAAAAGUCGUAACA